RNAcentral lists this long non-coding RNA (16616 nucleotides) under Durio zibethinus. RNAcentral describes it as "long non-coding RNA (DZIB_LNC001897)". Lineage: Eukaryota; Viridiplantae; Streptophyta; Magnoliopsida; Malvales; Malvaceae. The record is from RNAcentral.
UCCCAAAUCUGAAAUAUCUGAAUCUCUCAACGAAUUCCUUCAAAGGUAGCAUUCCUUCUUCAUUCGGUGAUAUGAAAAAUCUGCUCGUUUUGGACCUGUCAAACAAUGAACUCUUGGGAGGCAUACCUGAUAGCUUGGUCUCUGGCUGCAUUCUUUUGCAUGCUCUAAUAUUGUCAAACAAUAAUCUUAGUGGCGAAAUGUUUCCAAAGUUUUCUAAUCUAACCAGCUUAGAAAUACUGCGUUUGAAUGGGAAUCUCUUUCUUGGAGAAAUCCCAGAGAGUUUGCUCAACAGCUCAUACUUGAAGAGUCUAGAUGUUAGUUAUAACUCCUUAUCAAGUAAGCUGCCAACUUGGAUGGGAAAUUUGACUUAUCUGCAAACACUUUUGAUGGCCGGCAAUCAUCUUGAAGGACCGAUUCCCACUGAGUUUUGUUCAUAUGAGAACAUUGAAAUUCUUGAUCUUUCGCAAAACAAUCUCUCAGGCUCUAUCCCUUCUUGCUUUAGCCCAAUAUCCCUUCUCCAGGUAUACCUGCAUGACAACAAGUUCACAGGACCAAUAACAAAAUCCUUCUCUCAAAGCUCACUUUUGGUGACUUUAGACCUCAGAAACAACUACUUGACCGGAGGUAUUCCCAGUUGGAUUUCCAAUCUCAGUUUGAGCAUUCUUCUUCUGAAAGAAAACCAGUUGGAAGGAAGAAUCCCUGUUGAGUUGUGUCAGUCAUCCUUGAUGACUAUGCUAGAUCUUUCUCACAACAAUCUCUCAGGUCCUAUUCCUUCUUGCUUGAACAAGAUACCAUUCAAAAUAGGGUUUCGUUCGGGAAAAUUUCGUAUAGCUGUUUCUCUGGAUGGUGAUCUACAGUUGUCAGCCUAUUCAUAUCAAGGCAGCUAUAUAGAGUUACUUCAAAUACCUUCCUAUGCUAAACCUGCAUAUUAUGAAAUAUCCUCUGUUGAGUUCACAACCAAGAACAGGUCUGACUUCUACAGGAACAACUUUUUAUACAACAUGACUGGAAUUGAUCUCUCCUGGAACAAAUUGACAGGCAGAAUACCACCUGAAAUAGGGGAGCUAAAGCUAAUCCGUGCACUAGAUCUUUCACAUAAUGAAUUGAAUGGUUCAAUUCCAACAACCUUUUCGGGCCUAAAGAACAUAGAAAGCUUGGACCUUUCUCACAACAAGUUGACAGGAGCAAUUCCUCAACAGCUUACUGAGCUGACUGCGCUGGGAUAUUUCUCUGUUGCUUACAACAAUUUAUCUGGUAAAAUACCUGAUAAAGCGCAGUUUGGUGCUUUCGUGGAAAAUAGCUAUGAGGGAAAUUCUUUUCUUUGCGGGCCAACGUUGAAGAAAGACUGUAACCCAACUCCGGAACAAUCACCUGCGGGUCAUGAGGAGGGAGAGAACAGCUUUAUGGAGAUGCUGGCUUUUUACUUGAGUUUUCUUGUGGCUUACGUAACAGUGGUGGUGGUACUUACUGCUACUCUUUACAUCAACAUGGAUUGGAGAAACAAGUGGUUUCAUCUAGUUGAUGCCUGUAUCACUACUUGUCUUUGUAAGUUGACCAAUCAAAAUGAUUAGAAUUUCAUCAUUGUUUGAAAUAAAAUGCAGAGGGAAGCUGAAGGCAUGCAACAAUGUUCCAGCAAAUCACAGAGCCAAAUGAGUAAAAUCCCAUGAUAAAAAACUUUUGGUGAUUGAAGCAUAAUUAGAUACUAAACUUACAUUUUUUUUCUUGUUAAAAACAAGAGAGAAUUUUUAGAGAAGCAAAGAAGUAAGGGUAUGUCAGAGAUUGUCAUCCAAAUCAACUCAAACUUAUAUUUGUAAAAAGGUUUUUUUGUUGAGGUGAGAAAGUGUCGUAAACAAGUAAAGUAUGAUGUGUUGGGAGAUAACGGAGAAAAAUAUUAGAACAAACUUUAAAGUAUUAAUUACAGGAAUAGAGGGUGAUAGCUGGUAAAUGAAGGAUGGUAGAGAAGAAAAUGAGAUUGAAAAAAUGAUUUAGAAAGAGAAUAUGUGUUAUAUAUUGAGUGUUGAACGAGAAUAAUGAUAAAUAAUGAAAGAAUUGAUUGUGACAAAAGAUAUUGAUAUAUUGUUUAAUGAAAGUGUAAUUUACUUUUUUAUGAUAGACAUAAUAUUAUAAAAGUUUACUAUUUUUUUGAAAGAAAGGAAAAAACACUUAGGAAAAGGUUAAGAUGAAACUUCUUAACUAUCUUUUUAUUUAAUUCAUUAACUUAAAUUUUUAAAAAUAUUUUAAUAAUAGAAUUAAUCCAAAAAUUGUUAUCAUAUUUUAGGGUUAUUUUCACUUAUUCAUUUGAUGAAGUGUUUUUUGUUAAAUAAGUAAUUUUUGGUAAAAAAAUUUUUCAUAAAUAAUUAUUCCAUAAAAUAGUUUUCAUUGAAACAACCUUAUUAUAUUUUUUAAUUUAUUUACAAUUUUAAUAAUUUUAAACAAAAUUUAUAAAAAUAAAAUAUUAAUAAUCAAAAUCACAUUUCUUCAAUAUUUAAUUGAAAUUCAACUGAAAUCUAAAACCAUAAAUUACAAAUGAAAUCACCAUUCACUAGUCAUUAGAUGCAUUUAAAUGCUUGCAUUUGAAUUUAGUAAAAACAGUUCAUCAAAUACAAAUUUUUUUUUAAAUAGUAAUUUAAAUAUUUUUAAUCAAUGUUUAUAAACACCCGUUAAUCAGAUACACAUUCCAUGACACAACACUGGCUAGGAGAAUGCAGAUUAACAGGGAUAUUAUUGAUGACAUAUGAUGACCAGUCCAUCCAGGAAAUUCCUUUUUGUAAGUUGGAGAUUGGUGGGCUUGGUUGUAAAGCAAACAAUAAAGUGUUAGAUUCUAUAUUUUCCCCCACUUUCCAAAGAAAGUGACACCACGCCAAUGCAACGGCAUGACAUAAUUGGACAGUCCAUUAAACGUGCUUAAAUGGAAAGUGGCAUUGCCAUUUCCCUUACAAAACGUUGACCCGACGACCAAACCCCAAUAGAGAAAGAAAAAACAAAGAAAAAUGAUAAUAGUUGCAGAAAUGAAAAAAUAAUAAGAAAUUUCUUUCAUUUCAUUUCGUCACACCCAUCGGCAUAUAAUAGCUUUCCUUUCUUUUAUCCCGCUUCGAAAUUAGCGUUAAUUUCCUAAAAAUUAUUAUUAUUAUUAUCAGAUUGUUUUUCUUUGCUAAUCUUUUUGUUUGGUUGCUAACAAAAUUUUACAAGGAAAUAAUACAAAACCACAAAGUUUCGGCAACAUACACAACGUUACUAAGCAAUGGGACUGAAAAGAGAAUGGAUGUGACUGUCAUUUUCUUACUUAUUUUGACAUUUAUUUUCAGGGAAAGUAAAUGGAAGUGAGGCAAAGUAUGUGGUGGAGUUUUCAUGGCGGAUUGCUGGGAGGGUCUGUAGUGGAGGGGCAGAUUGGUGAACCUGUGCCAGUGGAGAUCGGUACUUCAUCCCUUGUUUCGGCUGCUGAGAGGACUUACAGAAAGGACCCACUUAAUGGGUUCAAGAGGAUGAAAUAUCAGGGAGCGCCAUUACUGGGCUGUAAGUUUACCAAAACCCAAGAGCCGAAAUGACCCAUUUUUGAUGAGUUUUUUUUUUUUUUUUUGACUUUUCUCUUUUCGGACAAGACCAUGCCAUGCACUUAUGUCCAGUUAUUUACCACUUGCCAGCAUAUGAUUACUCUUGGACCCUUGGCUCUGGUUCAAAUUUUCAAUGCUGGCACGUGGGUGAUUUUACAUUUACAUCCUUCAGAAUUUGUAUUUUGGCACGUGAGGGUAUAAUUUCUAGUCAAACAUUCUGGUUAAGGUCCCCCAUGCCCACCAUACACCCUUCUUUUUCAUCAGUUAUAUUUUUGUGGCAAAUGGUAGUGAAAUUAGAGAGUGGAUAUUGAAAAUACAGUUUCCAAUUGCAGUCCAGAGGAGAUAAUUUAUUUCUGUAGAUAUGUAUAGAGUUUUUUCUUUUUUGGCGAGAAAAAAAAAUGGAUAUGUUUAGCAUAACAUGGAUGAUACUAACUUUUUCAUUCUAAUCUAACACACAAUCAUAGCAGUAGUCCAAUACCUACAUUUAUGUUUGCAGAAAUGCUGAGCUGGUGCUAGAAAUAGUAUGCCAUUAGCCCAUUACUGCAGCAAUUUCCUUUUGGAGUAAUUUUUCCAUGCAUUUUUCAUUUAUGUAGUAGAUAUUGAAGCAAAUAGGAUUGAGACAUGGUUCAAGCUUUGCGGAACAAGGCAGGUCCUUGGUGCUGGAUGAUGUGAAGUUAAGAAUGUGACUUUGUAAGCAAGUUGAUUGAUUCUUAGGUAUACCAUAUCUGUCUUCCCUCGUGGAAGCUGGCGAAUUAUAGAUGAACAUGACAUCCACCAAAAAGUUUGGUCCUUUCAUACUACAAAAUUUUUCUUUGUACUUCGAUUUAGCUCUAGUGUUGCACUAAGGUGUUAUUUUUUUUUUUUUUGAAUAUUUUCAUUUUCGUACCCUUUUAUCCAUUUUCGUGUCCUAGCAGUUGGAUUAUAUGUAAUUGGCUAUAUUGCAGCUAGUCAGUAUCAGUUUAAGAUUUAUGUCCUAACUAAUCAGUUCCAUUUUUGUUUAAAUGCAGUCCGUGGCUUUUACUGCACUUCCUCUGUUUGCAAUUGCUGCAAUCUGGUUUGUUGGCUUUGGGUUAUGCUUAUUGCUCAUCUUUCUCUGUUGUUUCUGCUGUAAAAGGCAGCCACAUGGAUAUUCUAGAAUUGCUUAUGCAAUCUCUCUCAUUUUCCUGGUGUUGUUCACAGUUGCUGCAAUGUAAAUGCAUCUUUCUCUCGUGUCAUAUUCAUAUUGAAUAUUGAUGUGUCAUGAGUGUUCCUAAAUCCUAAUGCUUUGCUCUUUGGUUUUAGGCUUGGCUGGGUUGUCCUAUAUGUUGGCCAGGGGAGAAACACCCGAUGAAGAAACAAAACCUUUACCACAACCAGUGGAUCGAGGCAAAAGAAAAAUAGGAGAAGUUUCUAACCUAGAAAUUGAUGAUCUACUAAGAUUCUCAGAUUUUGUAGAAAACCCAAAAAAAUAUCAACCAGUUGAAACACAUCCUGUUGAUCCGAAUUAUUUCCCUAAAAAAGAGAAAAUAAAACAAACGUCAACUGUUGAGCAAAGCCAAACAAGCCAAACAAGCCAAACUCAACAACAACCUUCUUCCAUGAAUAUAGAUUUGUUAAAUAAACGAACUGUAGCACAAGGAGGAACUUAUUUAGAUCUGUCAAAAGUCUCACUUUCAGAAUAUGAAAAAAGCAUUGAUGAAUGGGUACAAUCAAUGUUUAUUGUAAUAACCAACUACAAAGACAUAUGGAAUAAAGAAAGGUUUCUUAACUAUUUUUGUGGAAUUUGGCAAGGUGAUGCUCUUAAGUUUCUCAAAAAAUGAAAAACUACAAAAUUAGGAAAAUCUCAAAAAGCAAAACUUUUUAAUACUACUACCAUUUCAGGACUUUUAAAACUUCUUACACAAAUAAAAAAAAAUAAAAUGUGUGGGAUGAUGGAAGAAAUUGAUGCUAUAGAUGAAGCUUGAUAUAUUCUUUCAAAACUCAAACUUUACAACGUCCUAAAUUUGGAUGAAUUUUUUAGAAAAUAUCUUUCUGAAUACCAAGGAUUGGAUGAAGAAUAUUCAAAGUUUUGGUUAGAACAAUAUUUUCAUAAACUUCCCUUACUAUGAGAUGAAUUAUGUGCUCAAAAUUAUUCUCUUUUUCUAAAAUCAAAGCUUGAUAAAUCUUCUUUUACAAAUCCUAGUAUACAACUAUAUGAUACUCUAAGAAGUAGAAUACAGUAUAUACAAAAUCAAGUUAUAGAAUACUGUUUGAAACAAUUGACAGCAAAACAGGUUAAAAGCAAACUUAGUCAUAAACAAUGUACUAAGAUUUUGAAUGAUGAAUUCAAUUUUGGUUGUAAUCAACAAUCAAAAUUUAAGAAACGUUUUAAAAAGAAUAGUUAUUCCAUGAGAAAAUGGAAACCAUAUAAACAACAUAUUCAACCAAAAAGGAAAUAUGUUGUAAAAAAGAAAAAAGAAAAAAAAUAAAUCAUAGAGCACAGACAAAACAAAAUGCAAAUGUUUCAUUUGUGAUCAAGAAGGUCAUAUAGCACCUAACUGUCCUAACAAAAGACGUAACGCUAAAAAUAUGAUCAAAACUCUUGAACAAUAAAAGCUUUGUGUAGCUUAUGCAGAAGAAAUAUCAGAUCCUGAAGAUAUCCUUUAUGAAAUAUUUUCAGAAACUGAUUUUGAUAUUUUUGAUAAUGAAUAUAUUUUUAUGAUUAACGAAGCUUCAUCUAAUCAAGAUACAGCUUCUAUAAGAUCUAAAUCUUCUUUAACAAAACCUGUUUCAAAAGAAAUGACUUUUCUAAAGAAUAUUAUGAGAAAAACUCAUAUUAUUUUUAGAAGAAAAACUUAAGCAACUUCAACUAAUAAAAAAGAUGAGAUUUACAAAACUAGCUAUUUUAAAGUUUUUAAAUCUUGGUUUAAACUCCAUAUAGAAAAAGUAUUAGCUAUUUUAAAGUUUUUAAAUCUUAGUUUAAACGCCAUAUAGAAAAAGUAUCUAGAGAUACAAUUACUAAUGAUUCUAAACAAGGAUUAAUAUAAAUUCCUCUGUUUUUUCAACAGAAAAUAAAUCAUUUUCUAUAAAAAUAUCCAAAAAUCAAAUAUUUUCAUCUCGAACUUAUUAUGAUUACAAUAAAACCUUUUCAUAUUUUUGGCAAGGAUAUACCCAUUCUUGCAGUUUUAAUGGACCAAAGAUUUUCUAAUACAAUAAAUGCAGUAGUUGCAAGAAUCCAAUCUAAUUUAGCAUCUGGUGUAAUUGCUUUUAAAGUAAAACCAAAUUAUUUUUUAUCAGUUUUUGAUCUUUUAAUAAAACAAAGCCUUUAUCUAUGUAUCAGAACAUAAAAUUUUGAUAUAGUUAAUAGAUCUCAUGAGCUUUCCAUAAAUUGGACAGCUAUAUAUGAAUUAUUAAAUACUAUAUUUAUAUCUAUCAAAAAGAUAGAUCCAAAGCUGAUUGAAAUUUUUGAAUCACAAAAAUUUAAAUUAGAAAUAAAGCCAAAAUUUAUGAAUGUACGAGACUUAUCCAUUCCUACUGGAUGGCUAUUACCUAACCUAAAAGAUGAAGACAAAAUUUAGAACCAAUCUAGUUCUAUAGAAUUUUUUUCAUCAGGAAAAAAAUCUAUAUUUUAAAAAUACAAGCAGAUACAAUCCAAAUUCUAGAUUAGUAUUACCUCCCUCAUUAUCUUCUAAUCAAGAAGAUGAUCUAGAAAGUCUAAAUAGCCAAACAUCCAUUGCUACUCCUUACAAAAAUUCUUUUUCUGGUUUUCAAACAAACUAUACAACUAGUACUUAAAUUUUUAUUUUUUCAAGAGAUAAUCAAUCUCAACCAUCAAAUUAUCAAACUGUUAAUUCUGUUCUAAAUUUUGUAACUUCUUCUAGAAAAACUAGAAUUAAAGAAACAAAAUCUUUAGUUUUAAAAACUGAUUUUAUCAAUUUCAGCAAUAAAAAAGCAACAAGCUUUUUUACUUUUAUUGAAGGAAAAUUUCGAUUUCAAAACUAUAAACCCUAUUCCCUUCAUAUAUUAUUAGACAUAGUAGCAACAAUCUCUAGUUGUCGAAGCAAUGCGUUACCAUUAAACAAAUGAGAACCAAUGAAACAUCUAAUCAUAGUAGUCAAAAUAAAGGGUAAAGAAACUCUUAUAGGUUACAAGGCAAAAAAUGUUCCGGUUUAUUUCAACAAUACUAAAUUUAUUAUUCCUAAAAUAUUAUGUUUUCCCCAUAUGCAUGGAGACGUGUUAUUAGGAAACAACUUUUUAUAAAAGAUUUACCUUUUUAUAUUUAUCCUGAUAAGAUUUUUCUUACAAUGGAUAACCAAUCCAUCAAAAUAAAUUUGGUAAAAGAACCACAAAAUAUUUGUGAUAAAAAUUUUCAACCAAAAUUGUUACAAUCAUAAAUCAAAAUAAUCAGUAAAAAAACAUUGGUUAUACACUGUUUUAAAAGAAAAUUUCUCAAAAUAACCUUUAAAACUUUUGGGAAGAAGCCCUCGUUUUUGUUCUCUUAAACUUAUUGAUCUUUUAAAGAUCAUUUGAGUAAAACCAAUGAUCUAUACCAAACAAGAUAUAGAUGGAUUUGAAAUACAAAUUUUUGAACUAUUGAUAAAAGGGUUAAUUGAACCAACAAUUACCCUCAUUCAAGUCUUGUAUUUUUUGUUAGAAACCAUACAGAAAUUAAAAUAGAAAAGCCUCGUAUGGUAAUCAAUUAUAAGAUGUUAAAUCAAAAUUUAGUCUUUGAUAGAUAUUAUAUUCCUCGAAAAGAUAUUUUGAUAAAUUUAGACAAACAUGCUAAAUAUUUUUCCAAAUUUGAUUGUAAGUCAGGUUUUUGGUAGAUUAAACUUGAUAUUAAAUCAAAGCCUUUAACUGUUUUCAGUGCAUCUACAGAACACUGCCAAUGGACUAUAAUGCCAUUCGGUCUUUGUAAUGCACCUAAGAUAUUACAAAGAUGGAUGGAUCAAAUUUUUGCAAAACAUAAAAAAUUUUGCUAUGUUUUAUAUCGAUGAUAUUUUAGUCUUUUCCAAAACCUUGGAUAAGCACAGAAAAAAUCUAAAUCUUAUAGCACAAGAAUUCAUUUUACAUGGCAUAAUAUUCAAUUCUAAAAAGAUUCAGUUAGAAAAAACUCAAAUAAAAUUUUUAGGAUUAAAGCUUUCAACCAAUGGUCUUGAACUACAAGAUCAUAUCAUUUCUAAAAUUCAAGAAUUUCCAGAACACUUGGAAACUAAAAAACAGUUACAACAAUUUUUAGGCAUCUUUAAUUAUGGACGAUAGUUUUUUAAGAAUCUCUCUAAAAAGGAGAAAGUUCUCCAAGAAAAACUUCGAACCAAUUCAGAAUUUUCUUGGAAUAAUUCUAAUACUGCUAUUAUUAAACAAAUAAAAGCAAAACUUACCGACAUUCCAAAAAUAUAUCUUCCUACCUAAGGAGAUUUAUUGAUAUUAGAAACAGAUGCGAGUGAAGAAUAUUGGAGUUGUGUUUUAAAAGCAAAAAAUUUUCAUAAAAAAGAUGAAUUAAUUUAUGAUUAUAAUUUUGAAAAAUUUAAACCCAAUGAAAUCAAAUACUUUAUUUUCGAAAAAGAAUUAUUAGCCAUGCCAUUAAAAGUGCAGUUACUUGAUUUCAUAUUUUUCUUGCACCAGAAACAUUUAUAAUAAGAACUAAUAAUAAAUCAGUUCAAGACUUUCUUAAAAAUAAAAAAUUAUUUGAUAAUCUAAAAAGAAUAAAAUGGCAUAAUUUUCUAUGUCAAUAUAGCUUUAUCAUCGAGUUUAUUAAUGGUGAUAAAAAUUUUCUUGUAGAUUAUCUGAGCAGACCCAAUGGAUCGUGAUAAGCAAUCUCAACAGGAAGGAUGGCGAACUAUACAAAAGAAGCAAACUAAAAAGGUUUCUUUUUCUUUCUCUUUUUCUCUUCACUUUCAAAAUAAUCCUAACCCAGGAUUAUUUAUUUACCAACCUCAUGGAUACUUACCUCAUCAACUUCCUCAAUGACCUUAUCACGAUCAUAAAAAUUAGCCAGAUUUCUCUUAAUUUGCUUAGGAUCCAAAUCAAUAGAUUCUUAUGUCUUAUUCCCAGAUAGUCUCAUCUACACAAUAAGUGCGUAAAGAAAUUCAAACUUUUAAUCCAAAAAUCAAAGACUUUUAUAAUCUUGGACUUCAAUCAGAAGUCUAUGAUUUAUUAAACCAUGUUUGGAAAUCCCAUCUCUUACAAAACAAAACUCAAUUUUGAAAAAGGAUGACUGGAUUGGUUGAGUUUUUGGUUACUCAAACAAAAAAAUUUCAAAAAUUUCAAGAAGCUGCUUUCCAGAGUCUUCUUGCAUCUAACAUGUUAAAACAACAGGAUAUAAAUUUCUUUGCUCUGGAAGAAAAUCAAUAUUCUAUACAAGAAAUAAAUAAUUUUUUGUCACUUUGUGAGUAUUUUGAAAAACAAAAUUCUCCAAAAAUAGGAAAAUUAUACCAAAUACUUCUUUUCAAAAAAGUUACUGUAUUUUUAACCAAAGAAUUAUUCCAGCAAAUAAAUCUCAGCAUUCUUCAACAAACAAAAAAAUUAUUAGUUGAAAAAUUUUCAAAAUUCUAUUUUGCAACAUAUAUUUUUACCACAGAACUUAGAGAACAAAUCCCUAAACUUAAAUUUAGAUUAAAUCAUGAUCCUUUCGAUAUAAUAAGUAUCAAAUUAGGAAUUGUUUGUGAAAUCCUUGUUCAAAAUUUUCUUUUGAACUUAUCAAAUACUUCCCAGCUUUCAUUAAGCAUCAUUUUCACCAAAUGACAAAAUAUGUCCGACGUUUUUUCUAUAUUGAUUUUCAGAUAACCAGUUUUCUAAGAAUCUUUCAAAGAGAAAGAUUUUAUCAACCCUAUCAGAUUUGGAAAGCUCAAAAACUUCAUACAAGAACUCUGUUGGAACCAUCAAUGGAUUCAUUAGAAAACCCGAAUGAUUUAAACAAAAUUAUUCAAAAAUAUUCAAAUUCGUCGCACUGCCAAUUUUAAAUAGGAAUUUCUACGAUCGAAAAGGCAAAAACUUUGCUUGAGAUGGCCACUAGACAAAAUUUUCCUAGAACAGCUGCCUGGACGGAUGGCAAAAGAAUUUUUGUCCUAACAUAUUAUGCUCCACAUGAAGAUUUGAAAAUAGAAUCUGCACCAAAGGCCUUAAAGCUCCUGCAUCAGCUUUCAACAAUGAAAGAUCUUGAUCACCCUCAAGAAAUUUUUUUCCAAUACCAAGAAGGUUGACGGAUGUGGAACAAGUCCAGAAAAGUAUCUCCUCAAUCCUAUAAUCUAGACGAUGAAAAAUUUUAAAAUCUGGAUAAUAUACUCGAAGAAUAAGUUGUUCUAAAUCAGAAUAAGCUACUCUUUCAAGCUAUUGACAGAAACAAACAAAGCUCUCUACAACAUUAGAUCAAUCGAUAAAAGUUAUUGUAGCAUCAUUAGAGCAGAACUGUAGUUAUCACUUUAGGAGCACAAAUAAUAAAAUCUUCUACAGUAAAAGAUAAGCACAAGUUGGUACUGUUUUCUUCCUUUUUUCUGCUAUAAAUAAAGGGGGUCAUUCCUAAUAAUGCCAGAGGCUUCCAUCCUAGCUACCUUGCUUCUUUCCUAUCCUGUUUCUGUACCAGUAUCUCCUUAAAAACUUGUAAAACAACUUGUAAAAUUAAAAGAUCUUUUCCGCAUCUUUGAAAAUGGUAUCAGAGCAUAUAUUGUAAAUCAGGCAGUUACGAGUAUCAGGAAACUAAAGGAUAUGUCAGACUCUCUUGCGUCAGCUAAGUAGAUCGGAGUUGAUAAAAAUUUUUCUACCUUCUAAUGUCCAAACUGAUAUUGAUGAGAUAGGAGCAAAAAUUAAUUCUUCUGGUAGCACUCUAGUUGACAAAACAGUGGAUAAUUCAGAUGAGAUCUCCUAGAUUCUGUGUAAGUGAAGGAUUCUGAAGUUUACCUAUAUGUUUUAGUGCUUCCAAGAAAAGCUUUCAUUAAAGAUGUAUUUCAAUGCUGCUACAGGAGAGUGGCUCUUAUUGCAAUAGCUGCUAUUAUGCUUCUAUUGACAUUUCUUGGAAUCUGUAAGUCCCUGUGGUUUCUUUUGUAAGAAUUCGCGAAAGUUCGUUUUUUCAGAAUUUAGAAAGUUUGUGACUUCAUUUAUUUGUGCAAUCUAAUUUUGUUUAAGUAUUCUCAAUUUUUGGGAUGCAGCUUCUUGUUUACAUGUGAGUAAGAUGGAAUUUCAUUCUCCAGUUUUUUCUCUGAUUUUGGUUGGAUUCAACGAGGAUCUUUCUUAACAGAAGGGUUUAAAACUAUAUCUGUUUCAGCCUGGUGAUACUAGGAUGGAUGCUUGUCACUGGAACAUUCCUUGUUCUCCAUAAGUUUUAACAUAGCUCAACCUAUAUUCCUUGUGAUGUUUUGUUUUUGAUGUGCUAGUGUAGCUGCAGAUACUUGUGUUGGAAUGCAUGAUUGGAUCCAAAAUCACACUGCUCAUAUGGCUUUAGAUGAUAUACUGCCUUGCGUGGACAAUGCUACAGCCCAAGAAACACUGUUGAAAAGCAGGGAAGUUACUUCUCAGCUUGUUGAAGUUAUUAACCAGCUCAUAACUUUCCAACCAUGUACUUCAAUCAAUCCGGUCCAUUGGUGCCGGUACUCUGCAAUUCUUUCUUUCCUGACCUUACGGAUCGAAUUUGCACUGCUGGUGAAGUGAAUGCAGAUAAUGCAACAUAGGUAAAUUCAUUGGACCCAGCAACAUCAAUGCAUUAUUAUUAACAUGCAAACAAACUUGGACUGAGGCAGAAAGUAGGCUGCCAAGAAUUUCUGUAUGUUUUCUUUUGUUUGCAAGAUCUGGACUUAUUUUACAGUAAGAUAUUAUCAUUUACUACAGGUAUGGAGGCACUAUGUCUGUCAGGUUUCUGCAACUGGAAUAUGCACCACAACAGGACGAUUAACUCCGGCCUUCUAUGACCAGAUGACAGCUGCGGUAAAUGUGGGCUCUGCAUUAUAAAUUUAUGCUCCUUUCGUUGUUCAGCUACAAGACUGCACAUUUGUGAGGGAAACUUUUACAGGCAUUUAUGUAGAACACUGCCCUUGUCUACGGCGGUAUAAUAGAUGGAUCUAUAUAGGGCUGGCAAUGGUCUCAACUAGAGUUAUGCUCCCUUUAAUCUUCUGGGUAAUGUAUGGGCGGGAGAGACGCCAUCGCCUUUAUACAAAACAGUUAAGUGAAGGUCCUGAAGCAGACAGAAGCAGACAGAGACACUUGAAAGAAGCUUUUCUUUCACUUUGUGUGCUGGAAUGGGAAUGGUUGUUUCUUUGCAGUUGUGGUCCGCAGCUUCACUCUAUGUUGUAAGUCCUUUAGUGUGGUUUGUCCAUAUAAAACUGUAACCAAUCCACGCCAGUAAUCAAAGAAUCCAGGUCCAUAAGUGGGUUGUACCUUGUAGUGUUAAAAGACUCGCAUGAUCAGAUUGAAAGGAUUUGUUUCGGGGGAAUUUCAUUACAUGUAGACUUUGGUUAAAUUCCUUCCAUGCCAUGAUGAUUCGUUUCAUCUUUUUUACUACUUUCUUUCCACAACCAAAUGAGGGAGAACUUCAAUUUCUGUUUGUUGAUCCCAUUUCAAGAACCAUGUUAAUAAGGCCUUCAAUAAACAAAAUUUCCUAUACUUACCGCAUUAAAAUAUUAAAUUAUUAAGAGUAAAUGUUUUAUAAAAUUAAUAAAACUUAAACUUUGAAAUUCAUAUAAAAGCCUUUUUCAAUAAUUAAUUAAAUAUAACUCAUAAAUUUGAGAAUUCCGAAAAGCUGCGAAAGAUAAUGUUACGUACAUCUAACUGUUUAUUGAUGACACUUUUGAAAAAUAAUAGAAUUAGAUGAUUUCUUUAUUAGGUUAAAAAAUUGAUAUGAGAAGUGUGUAUAUUUUUAUGCUUAUAUAAACACCUAUGCGCUCUCUCCAUUGGUGCCUACUAUUAUUAUAUAUAUAUAUAUAUAUAUUAGUAUAUUACCUUUCGAUGUCCAUCUCACAUAGGUCCAUGUAAUUAAUAUAGGGCUGGACCACUCGAGAAUUUGUCGAUUUGAGGGCUAAUCCAAAGGUCUGCAAAAGCAACUUCUAUAUAAAUCAAUGUCUUCUUUCUCAGCUGCACAACCAAUAGAUUCUUUAAAACCAUGAAGUGGAUUUUCUGGCUUUCUUUUCUUUUUCUUUUUUUUUUGGGAUAAAUUGAAUUUUUACUCAUUCAAAAUCAACAAAAAUCUACUACAAUAUAAUUGUUUUAUAACUCAGCAAACAAAGAAAUAACAAUUCAUUAACAACUUAUUCUAAAAAUUUUACAUUUAAAUUUCAAUCUUCAUUAAAUUUUUUUAUUUAAUAUAUCGCUUGUAAUAUAUUUCAAUUCAUGCAAUCUGUAUCUUAUAAUUUCUUUACUUUGUCUACCAUUUGUGCAGUCGUUAUCCCCCUUUGCUUGAAUAUCUUUUGAUUCCUUUCUCUUAUAUGAAAUAUAUACAUCCGUUCCAAGUCAUUUUCAAUAGAAUUGAAAUCAAAGCUUUCUCUUUUGAUUUGUUUUUUGCCAAGCUCAGAUCUAUGUCUCAACUUCAUACUCUUCUAUUAAUGAUACAUAGCUGAAGAAUCUUUUGUUAAAUUUUUUUUUGAAUAGACACACUCAAAGUAAAUAUGAUCUUUUCUUUCAUCUUCAUUGUUACAUAAAUUAUAUUUACAAUCAAAUUUUAUUUUUCAUGAUUAUAACGUAUCUUUUAUUGAAAACCUAUUUAAAAUCAUCAUUCACGUUAUUAGUGAAUGAUUUAGAAUAUAAUACUUGAAUCAUAUUAAUUUUUACCAUCUCACUUUUCGUUGCUGCGAUCUGAUCUUUUUUCAUUCUAUAACAGUGUGAUAAUGUCCUUUUGAAAAUGACCGUACUUCCGCUCCGUUUUAUUUUUUGAUGAAAUUUUACGCAAUCUGUCUUAUUUGAAGCAAUUUCCUCCAAUACCACGGCGCUGGCUUUCUUUGGUCCUGGUACAGUUAAACGAUUACCAAUGCUUUGGUUGCCAUGAGGAAGAGAGGCUUGCUCUUUUGAAACUCAAAACAUCUUUCUAUCCGGACGAGAGCUAUGCUCCUUCUUCUUGGGAGGAUAACGAUAGUGACUGUUGUGGUUGGGAAAAUGUGGUGUGUGACAAAGAAACGAAACGAGUAAGUAAGCUUUUUCUUAACAGCUCAUGGGAUCUCCGUGAAGUCUAUGAAGAUUUGUUUCUGGAUGCCACCCUUUUUCUUCCAUUUAAGGAUCUGACUUCCCUAAACUUGUCUUCAAACAUGUUUUCUGGUUUGGCUGAUAAUGAUGGUACUAGAAACUUCUUUUUUUCAGUUUAUCAUUUCAGAAUUCUGUCUUUCUGCUGUGAAAUAGGAAGGAGGUUUAAAUAUUCAUUUUUUUUCGAAUUCUCUUCGUUCAACAGGCUUUGAAAGAUUGUCUAAACUGAACAAGUUGAGAUUCCUUGAUUUGAGCGGAAGUUACUUUCGUGACAGCAUCCUUGCACAUGUUGGAGCAAUCUCUUCACUUACUACUUUGUAUUUGGCUAAGAACUUAAUGACCGGAGUGACUCAUUUGCAAGGUAUGUUCAUUCUUCCAUUUUACUCUGGAUCCAAGAAUCUCUUAUCUCAUGUAACUUUGCUCAUGUCAUGAUAAUUGUUCUCUGAAGAACUGGCUGCUCUGUCUAACUUGGACGAGUUGGACUUGAGUGAGAAUUUGUGAGAAAGCUUCAUGGAGAUUCAAGGUACACCACCAAUGUUUAAUUCCAUUUGGCACUUGAUGGUUUCCUAGUCAACCUUUGGUUUAGCUGAUUUCUAUUUCAGGUCUUAAAAAAUUGAGCAAACUGAAAGUCCUGAACCUAAACUCAAAUAAGCUCAACAUGAGUACUUUACUGUCUCUUGGGAAUCUCCAUUCGCUCAAGAGGCUUUAUAUCAACGAUAAUAGCUUGGAAGGAUCCAUUACUAUUGAAGGUAUGCACAACUAAAAAAAAAAUAAGGGCAGCCCGGUGCAUAAAGCGCUCCGGCUAUGUGCGAGUUCGGGAGGGGUCCAUUGUACACAUGUUUUAUCAUACCUAGAUUUUUCCACCUUCCUUCCUUUCUAGGACUUAACAGUUUGAGAAACAUGGAGGUCUUGGAUGUCUCUUCCAGUAAUAUUAGCAGCAACUUUCUUCAGGUUUUAGACUACAUGAUAGGCUUAUACUUGCGUGAUAAUACUCUCAAUGGCACCACGGAUUUGCUUGGUAAUUCUAGUUGUACUUGAAAACCAAGUGCUUUAAUUGAAUUAAAUUAACAAGUAUUUAUUAUAUUAACUUUGUUUUCUAACAAUUUUGGCAGGCUUGUGCAAACUUAGGGAUCUUGAAGAGUUGGAUCUCAGUCAUAACAGUUUCAAAGGCACAAUCCCUUCCUGUGUUGAAACCUUGACAUCCCUUUGAGUUCUGGAUAUCUCUAGAAACAGGUUUUCGGGGAACAUCAGUUCAUCUUUCAUCUCUAGCCUCAUUUCCCUUGAGUUUCUUUCCCUUUCUCACAAUGUAUUCCAAAGUUUGGCCCCAUUUUCCUCAUUUGCUAACCAUUCUAAGCUUGAGGUCUUUGAGCUUAUCCGUGAUAACAAUGGAUUAAUGGUUGAAAUCGAUGAUCAUAAUUGGGUUCCACGCCUCCAACUGAAGAUCUUCCGUCUUUCAGGCUGUUCAGUUGAUGAAGGAUCCAUGUUCAAAUUUCUUUCUUACCAAUAUGAUCUUAGAGUGAUUGAUCUUUCUGAUAACAACUUGGAAGGAGAUUUCCCUACUUGGUUGAUGGAGAAUAAUACAAGAAUGGUAGAGCUAUAUUUGAAAAAUAAUUCUUUCAAAGGCCAAUUUCCUCUUCCAUCUCGUCCUAGCACAUUCAUCUCCGUUGUUGAUAUUUCCAGCAAUCAGCUUCAAGGACAUAUCCCAUCAAACAUAAGUGUCUAUCUCCCAAAUCUGAAACAUCGGAAUCUCUCAACGAAUUCCUUCAAAGGCAGCAUUCCUUCUUCAUUCGGUGAUAUGAAAAAUCUGCUCGCUUUGGACCUGUCAAACAAUUAACUCUUGGGAGACAUACCUGAUAGCUUGGUCUCUGGCUGCUUUCUUUUACAUGCUCUAAUAUUGUCAAACAGUAAUCUUAGUGGCGAAAUGUUUCCAAAGUUUUCUAAUCUGACCAG